UCCGGCUUGUCGCCGGCGGUCCCUCUAGAGUGCCCAACUGAAUGAUGGCAACUAAAGGCGAGGGUUGCGCUCGUUGCGGGACUUAACCCAACAUCUCACGACACGAGCUGACGACAGCCAUGCAGCACCUGUCUCUGCGUCCCUUGCGGGAAAACCUCCGUUACGAGGCGGUCGCAGGAUGUCAAACCCUGGUAAGGUUCUGCGCGUUGCCUCGAAUUAAACCACACGCUCCGCUGCUUGUGCGGGCCCCCGCCUAUUCCUUUGAGUUUCAGCCUUGCGGCCGUACUCCCCAGGCGGGGUACUUCAUGCGUUAGCGUCGGCACCCAGGGGGUCGCUCCCCCAAACACCUAGUACCCAUCGUUUACGGCGUGGACUAC
RNAcentral lists this unclassified non-coding RNA (377 nucleotides) under uncultured Alphaproteobacteria bacterium. Its description in RNAcentral is "contains 16S-23S intergenic spacer region". Lineage: Bacteria; Pseudomonadati; Pseudomonadota; Alphaproteobacteria. The record is from RNAcentral.